RNAcentral lists this ribosomal RNA (617 nucleotides) under uncultured bacterium. RNAcentral's name for it is "bacterial SSU rRNA". The stretch from base 1 to 534 matches the Rfam family "Bacterial small subunit ribosomal RNA", at positions 338 to 873 of the family's 1533-position model. The record is from RNAcentral.
CCUACGGGAGGCAGCAGUAGGGAAUAUUGGUCAAUGGGCGGAAGCCUGAACCAGCCAUGCCGCGUGCAGGAAGAAGGCCUUCUGGGUUGUAAACUGCUUUUGACAGGGAAGAAAAAGCGUCUGCGGACGAAAUUGACGGUACCUGUAGAAUAAGCCACGGCUAACUACGUGCCAGCAGCCGCGGUAAUACGUAGGUGGCAAGCGUUAUCCGGAUUUAUUGGGUUUAAAGGGUGCGUAGGCGGUUAAAUAAGUCAGUGGUGAAAGUCUAUGGCUCAACUAUAGGACUGCCAUUGAUACUGUUUAGCUAGAGUACAGCAGAGGUAGGCGGAAUGGACAGUGUAGCGGUGAAAUGCAUAGAUAUUGUCCAGAACACCGAUAGCGAAGGCAGCUUACUGGAGUGUAACUGACGCUGAGGCACGAAAGUAUGGGGAUCAAACAGGAUUAGAUACCCUGGUAGUCCAUACAGUAAACGAUGAUCACUCGCUGUCGGCGAUAUACAGCCGGUGGCCAAGGGAAACCGAUAAGUGAUCCACCGNGGUAAGGUACGACCGCGAGUAGUUAACGUUACGAAGAAGUUAGNGGCGNGAGAGNGCGACGGACGACGACGAGGGAGGAGG